RNAcentral lists this ribosomal RNA (253 nucleotides) under uncultured bacterium. RNAcentral's name for it is "partial 16S ribosomal RNA". It matches the Rfam family "Bacterial small subunit ribosomal RNA", at positions 524 to 776 of the family's 1533-position model. The record is from RNAcentral.
UACGGGGGGGGCAAGCGUUGUUCGGAAUUACUGGGCGUAAAGGGCUCGUAGGCGGCCAACUAAGUCAGACGUGAAAUCCCUCAGCUUAACUGGGGAACUGCGUCUGAUACUGGAUGGCUUGGAUUCGGGAGAGGAAUGCGGAAUUCCAGGUGUAGCGGUGAAAUGCGUAGAUAUCUGGAGGAACACCGGUGGCGAAGGCGGCAUUCUGGACUGCAACUGACACUGAAAGACGAAAGCCAGGGGAGCAAACGGG